UGGGGAAUCUUCCGCAAUGGACGAAAGUCUGACGGAGCAACGCCGCGUGAGUGAUGACGGCCUUCGGGUUGUAAAGCUCUGUUAAUCGGGACGAAUGGUUCUUGUGCGAAUAGUGCGAGGAUUUGACGGUACCGGAAUAGAAAGCCACGGCUAACUACGUGCCAGCAGCCGCGGUAAUACGUAGGUGGCAAGCGUUGUCCGGAAUUAUUGGGCGUAAAGCGCGCGCAGGCGGAUUAGUCAGUCUGUCUUAAAAGUUCGGGGCUUAACCCCGUGAUGGGAUGGAAACUGCCAAUCUAGAGUAUCGGAGAGGAAAGUGGAAUUCCUAGUGUAGCGGUGAAAUGCGUAGAUAUUAGGAAGAACACCAGUGGCGAAGGCGACUUUCUGGACGAAAACUGACGCUGAGGCGCGAAAGCCAGGGGAGCGAACGGGAUUAGAUACCCCGGUAGUCCUGGCCGUAAACGAUGGGUACUAGGUGUAGGAGGUAUCGACCCCUUCUGUGCCGGAGUUAACGCAAUAAGUACCCCGCCUGGGGAGUACGACCGCAAGGUUG
Molecule: ribosomal RNA, 550 nt
Filed under: uncultured bacterium
Lineage: Bacteria
Description: bacterial SSU rRNA
Rfam family: Bacterial small subunit ribosomal RNA
Source: RNAcentral